CCGGAGAUCAUUGCCUUGGCAAUGGACAGGCUGGGCCCUGUUGGUUCCCAGUAAAGUGAGUGCUUCUGUUACAAAUAACGUUGUCUUUGCGAAGUUUCUAAGCAUGGCGAGUUUCCAAUCUGUGGGAAGCAGUAGAGAUUAUUGUGCGUGUCUGCAUGUGUAGAUGUUAGCUUCCAAUUUGCGGAGAUGCUGGUGUGUGGAUCACAACAGACGAGCUUGGAAGUCCUCUACCCUGAAGAUGCAUUGAACGCAUGCCAACAAUCAGAUUCCAUUCGUGAGUGCGUCAUUUAAACUUGUUUUUGAUACAAGUGGGAUAACAACUUGUAUCACAUGAAACCUGAGACCGGGUUGUCAGCGCUUCGUAUUCUGCUCUGGGUGUUUUUGCCUACUUGCGACUCGCUGUCGUGAUCUCACAGGAAUUUGUGAUCACGCUCAGUUGGUAGCCUCAUCAACACUGCAACAUAAGGUCGCUGUGGGUGGUUGACAUUUUGGUCGUGCACGAACUCACUGGAGAUUUCUUCGAUGGCGUAGGCAGAUCCAUCAGAGUGUACAGAGGCGAUUAUUCGUUUGUUUCGUGAAAACAUAGAGUUGGUAAGUUUUGAACUAUCUCUAAUGAUGAGCAGAACUUAAGGUUUGUAGUUCAAAAUCCUCAUUGGUGGAAUGACUUUGUUGCAUAUUUUAGUGUGCCUUUCCUACGAAGAUAUUUCAGAAUCUUAAUUUUGAGUUUGUUUCCUCUGCACGUUGCUAGAUUGCUCGAGUUGGAUAUGAACUGCAAGGAAUAGGAGUGGAAAACUUUAUACUGUUGACAUGGCUAACAUUCCGAGUUAGCAAUGUCUAUCAUACCCAUCGUGUUCCAAUGGCUUGCCAAUGUUCAAGGGUCGGUUCCUAAAUCAUCGGGUCAUCCCACACUACAUGCAGUUGUAGAAGACGAGUCAACAGUGUCAUACCUUGAUUGUAUAAGAUUUCUCAGUUGUGGAGGAAAAGAGACAGCCAUGAGCUCUGAGUACCCAGAUGUGGAGUUGUCUGACAUACAUGUUGACAAUGCAGCCACAGUUCGUUGCAUGGCUGCAUGAGUUGCGUUCCAAUCUGACGGUCACUCCUUCGUUUAUAACAGUUUGACACCAUCGUCACAGGCAAUAUCUUUGGUGGCGUCACACUAGACAAAGCUUCAAUGUUGACUCGAAGCAUAGCUAUGUUGCCGUCAGCUAGCACUGGAGAAUCUGUAAAUACCACUACCACUCAAACGACUCCUACGAUUGUUAUGGAUUUCUUUCUGAGUUGAGUAAGCUUUUUCCAGUACAGGGUUUCUUCUACUUCGUGGAAGUUCCCAAUUCCCUGACUCAAACUGUGUUGAUAUGUAGAGUCUUGGUGUGGACGAACCAAUUCAUGGAUUAGCUCUUAGUAUUGCUGGUCAGGUAUAAAUAUUUGUUCUAUAAAUGUGUGUUACAUCUUCUCUGGAAGCUUUUAGCCAAGAGAGUCAGUACAAGUUAUUUGGAUGGUGCGACCUAUCCAACAAUUUUCAGAGGCGUAUGCCCCAAAAUUUCUUAGUAUAACCUCAAAAGACCUGUUUCCGAUUGUAUACCUCUUAGGGGUUUGGUCCUGCUUCUUCCAGGACAAAGCAAAUAUUCUUUAUCAACUUCUAAGCGCAAAAGCGCUCCUACGUUAAGCUUCGGGAGAAGAAAGUGCUGCUCAUAUGAAUAAUCAUGUAAAUUUUGCAAGUUCUCUAUUUUUGGAGCUUUGGCUGUUCAGAAUUGUCAGUCGAAGGCAAUGAGGGAUAAUUGCAUGUUUAGCAAGUUUAAUUUAAAACCGGCUGGUGAGAGUUCACGAGGGAUUCCUUCGUGUGCGUGUUCGUUCCAGGAAUACGUGGGCUGCGCGAAAGUGGCAGUUGAUUUGUGGACGUUUUCGUCUCCAAGCUAGUCUAUGGAACAGAAGAUGAUUCGUGGAAAAAGCAUGAGAAACUGAUGCACCUAUUCAACCAACCUAUUCUCCAACUCUUAUUUAGUGUACUUGACAGCAAAGUAGCAAGAUCAUUUUAACCAAGUGUUUGCCCAGCUCUUUAGGCUUAGCUUAGUUAUUCCAGUAUACUAGUUUUCAUUUAGGAGUGUGAAAGAGUUCCCAGCUAAGCAUUCUCCAGAAAAUGACUAUUGUCGUACCCCACAAGAGACGCAUGAAACUUCAAUUGAGGCUUUACCUCAGAAUGUUAAUCCUACUCUCGUGCUA
Physcomitrium patens is the source of this 2220-nucleotide non-coding RNA. NCBI's taxonomy places the organism in Eukaryota, Viridiplantae, Streptophyta, Bryopsida, Funariales, Funariaceae. The record is from RefSeq and is a predicted model, not a curated record.